This 336-nucleotide ribosomal RNA is filed under the name uncultured bacterium. RNAcentral's name for it is "bacterial SSU rRNA". It matches the Rfam family "Bacterial small subunit ribosomal RNA", at positions 527 to 866 of the family's 1533-position model. The record is from RNAcentral.
GUAGGUGGCGAGCGUUAUCCGGAAUCAUUGGGCGUAAAGAGGGAGCAGGCGGCAAUAGAGGUCUGCGGUGAAAGCCUGAAGCUAAACUUCAGUAAGCCGUGGAAACCAAAUAGCUAGAGUGCAGUAGAGGAUCGUGGAAUUCCAUGUGUAGCGGUGAAAUGCGUAGAUAUAUGGAGGAACACCAGUGGCGAAGGCGACGAUCUGGGCUGCAACUGACGCUCAGUCCCAAAAGCGUGGGGAGCAAAUAGGAUUAGAUACCCUAGUAGUCCACGCCGUAAACGAUGAGUACUAAGUGUUGGGGGUCAAACCUCAGUGCUGCAGUUAACGCAAUAAGUA